GGGUUGUGAGGUUAAGCGACUAAGCGUACACGGUGGAUGCCCUGGCAGUCAGAGGCGAUGAAGGGCGUGCUAAUCUGCGAUAAGCGCCGGUAAGGUGAUAUGAACCGUUAUAACCGGCGAUACCCGAAUGGGGAAACCCAGUGUGACUCGUCACACUAUCAUUAACUGAAUCCAUAGGUUAAUGAGGCGAACCGGGGGAACUGAAACAUCUAAGUACCCCGAGGAAAAGAAAUCAACCGAGAUUCCCCCAGUAGCGGCGAGCGAACGGGGAGGAGCCCAGAGCCUGAAUCAGCAUGUGUGUUAGUGGAAGCGUCUGGAAAGACGCGCGAUACAGGGUGACAGCCCCGUACACAAAAGCGCAUGUGUUGUGAGCUCGAUGAGUAGGGCGGGACACGUGGUAUCCUGUCUGAAUAUGGGGGGACCAUCCUCCAAGGCUAAAUACUCCUGACUGACCGAUAGUGAACCAGUACCGUGAGGGAAAGGCGAAAAGAACCCCGGCGAGGGGAGUGAAAAAGAACCUGAAACCGUGUACGUACAAGCAGUGGGAGCACAGGUUUACCUGUGUGACUGCGUACCUUUUGUAUAAUGGGUCAGCGACUUAUAUUCUGUAGCAAGGUUAACCGAAUAGGGGAGCCGGAGGGAAACCGAGUCUUAAUUGGGCGUUAAGUUGCAGGGUAUAGACCCGAAACCCGGUGAUCUAGCCAUGGGCAGGUUGAAGGUUGGGUAACACUAACUGGAGGACCGAACCGACUAAUGUUGAAAAAUUAGCGGAUGACCUGUGGCUGGGGGUGAAAGGCCAAUCAAACCGGGAGAUAGCUGGUUCUCCCCGAAAGCUAUUUAGGUAGCGCCUCGUGAACUCAUCUCCGGGGGUAGAGCACUGUUUCGGCUAGGGGGCCAUCCCGGCUUACCAACCCGAUGCAAACUGCGAAUACCGGAGAAUGUUAUCACGGGAGACACACGGCGGGUGCUAACGUCCGUCGUGAAGAGGGAAACAACCCAGACCGCCAGCUAAGGUCCCAAAGUCAUGGUUAAGUGGGAAACGAUGUGGGAAGGCCCAGACAGCCAGGAUGUUGGCUUAGAAGCAGCCAUCAUUUAAAGAAAGCGUAAUAGCUCACUGGUCGAGUCGGCCUGCGCGGAAGAUGUAACGGGGCUAAACCAUGCACCGAAGCUGCGGCAGCGACACUCAGGUGUUGUUGGGUAGGGGAGCGUUCUGUAAGCCUGUGAAGGUGUGUCGUGAGGCAUGCUGGAGGUAUCAGAAGUGCGAAUGCUGACAUAAGUAACGAUAAAGCGGGUGAAAAGCCCGCUCGCCGGAAGACCAAGGGUUCCUGUCCAACGUUAAUC
Molecule: ribosomal RNA, 1341 nt
Filed under: Salmonella enterica
Lineage: Bacteria; Pseudomonadati; Pseudomonadota; Gammaproteobacteria; Enterobacterales; Enterobacteriaceae
Description: partial 23S ribosomal RNA
Rfam family: Bacterial large subunit ribosomal RNA
Source: RNAcentral